This 66-nucleotide transfer RNA is filed under the name Peltospira smaragdina. Its description in RNAcentral is "tRNA-Met". Lineage: Eukaryota; Metazoa; Mollusca; Gastropoda; Neomphalida; Peltospiridae. The record is from RNAcentral.
AAUAAGAUAAGCUAAGUUUAAGCUGUUGGGUUCAUACCCCAAAUAUGAAUGGAAUUUCUCUUAUUA